Molecule: ribosomal RNA, 241 nt
Filed under: uncultured bacterium
Lineage: Bacteria
Description: partial 16S ribosomal RNA
Rfam family: Bacterial small subunit ribosomal RNA
Source: RNAcentral
AAUCAUGGCUCAGGAUGAACGCUAGCUACAGGCUUAACACAUGCAAGUCGAGGGGCAGCAUGAACUUAGCUUGCUAAGUUUGAUGGCGACCGGCGCACGGGUGAGUAACACGUAUCCAACCUGCCGAUGACUCGGGGAUAGCCUUUCGAAAGAAAGAUUAAUACCCGAUGGCAUAGUUCUUCCGCAUGGUAGAACUAUUAAAGAAUUUCGGUCAUCGAUGGGAAUGCGUUCCAUUAGGUUG